GAGUAACACGUAGGCAACCUGCCCACAAGACAGGGAUAACUACCGGAAACGGUAGCUAAUACCCGAUACAUCCUUUUCCUGCAUGGGAGAAGGAGGAAAGACGGAGCAAUCUGUCACUUGUGGAUGGGCCUGCGGCGCAUUAGCUAGUUGGUGGGGUAAAGGCCUACCAAGGCGACGAUGCGUAGCCGACCUGAGAGGGUGAUCGGCCACACUGGGACUGAGACACGGCCCAGACUCCUACGGGAGGCAGCAGUAGGGAAUCUUCCGCAAUGGGCGAAAGCCUGACGGAGCAACGCCGCGUGAGUGAUGAAGGUUUUCGGAUCGUAAAGCUCUGUUGCCAGGGAAGAACGUCUUGUAGAGUAACUGCUACAAGAGUGACGGUACCUGAGAAGAAAGCCCCGGCUAACUACGUGCCAGCAGCCGCGGUAAUACGUAGGGGGCAAGCGUUGUCCGGAAUUAUUGGGCGUAAAGCGCGCGCAGGCGGCUCUUUAAGUCUGGUGUUUAAUCCCGAGGCUCAACUUCGGGUCNCACUGGAAACUGGGGAGCUUGAGUGCAGAAGAGGAGAGUGGAAUUCCACGUGUAGCGGUGAAAUGCGUAGAGAUGUGG
This 606-nucleotide ribosomal RNA is filed under the name Paenibacillus sp. KF-9. RNAcentral's name for it is "bacterial SSU rRNA". It matches the Rfam family "Bacterial small subunit ribosomal RNA", at positions 108 to 701 of the family's 1533-position model. The record is from RNAcentral. Lineage: Bacteria; Bacillati; Bacillota; Bacilli; Caryophanales; Paenibacillaceae.